RNAcentral lists this ribosomal RNA (127 nucleotides) under Neisseria meningitidis. RNAcentral describes it as "partial 16S ribosomal RNA". It matches the Rfam family "Bacterial small subunit ribosomal RNA", at positions 1 to 113 of the family's 1533-position model. Lineage: Bacteria; Pseudomonadati; Pseudomonadota; Betaproteobacteria; Neisseriales; Neisseriaceae. The record is from RNAcentral.
AGAGAUUGAACAUAAGAGUUUGAUCCUGGCUCAGAUUGAACGCUGGCGGCAUGCUUUACACAUGCAAGUCGGACGGCAGCACAGAGAAGCUUGCUUCUCGGGUGGCGAGUGGCGAACGGGUGAGUAA